AUUUAAUAUUCUUUUGUUAUUUAAAUAUGAGUGAAAAGAGACAAAACAAAGAAAACCGUUAGAGUAACAAAAAAAUGCAAAUGGUUGACAUUAGAGAAGAAACUCAUGAGAAUGGUGUUUUGUUUGCUAAAAUAGCAUGUGAAAAUUCAAUGAAUGAGUCAUCUGUACAAACAAUUAUUCAGAGCAAAGAAAAGAUUAAACAACAUGGAAUGAGCACUGCUUCUUAUAUGCGAAAAAUGAUCACGAGAAAUCAAUCUUCUGCAUUAAAAAUAUGGAAUGCUUUCUAAUGAUCUGGAUUGAAGGAAUAUUUUUGUUUUGUUUUCUACAACUUUUAUAUUGGUUUAAAAGGAUUUUAUUUGUUAUUUAGGUUAAUA
This 374-nucleotide long non-coding RNA is filed under the name Androctonus crassicauda. The record is from RNAcentral. Lineage: Eukaryota; Metazoa; Arthropoda; Arachnida; Scorpiones; Buthidae.